GAUGAAGAACGUAGCGAAAUGCGAUAAGUAAUGUGAAUUGCAGAAUUCAGUGAAUCAUCGAAUCUUUGAACGCACCUUGCGCCCUUUGGCUAUUCCGAAGGGCAUGCCUGUUUGAGUAUCAUGAACACCUCAACUCUCAUGGUUUGCCAUGAUGAGCUUGGACUUUGGGGGUCUUGCCGGCCUAUGGGUCGGCUCCUCUCAAAUUAAUCAGCUUGCCAGUGUUUGGUGGCAUCACAGGUGUGAUAACUAUCUACGCUUGUGGUUUUCCAUCAGGUAACCUUCAGUGAUGGAGGUUCGCUGGGGCUCAUAAAUGUCUCGCCUCAGUGAGGACAGCUUUUUUGAACGUUUGAUCUCAAAUCAGGUAGGACUACCCGCUGAACUUAAGCAUAUCAAUAAGCGGAGGA
RNAcentral lists this unclassified non-coding RNA (404 nucleotides) under soil metagenome. Its description in RNAcentral is "partial contains 5.8S ribosomal RNA, internal transcribed spacer 2, and large subunit ribosomal RNA". The stretch from base 1 to 121 matches the Rfam family "5.8S ribosomal RNA", at positions 35 to 154 of the family's 154-position model. The record is from RNAcentral.